AGAGUUUGAUCCUGGCUCAGGAUGAACGCUAGCGGCAGGCCUAAUACAUGCAAGUCGGACGGGAUAGAAGAGCUUGCUUUUCUUGAGAGUGGCGCACGGGUGCGUAACACGUAUGUAACCUACCUUUAUCUGGGGGAUAGCCUCUCGAAAGAGAGAUUAACACCGCAUAACAUCACGGCUCGGCAUUGAGAUGUGAUCAAAUAUUUAUAGGAUAAAGAUGGGCAUGCGGGACAUUAGCUAGUUGGCGGGGUAACGGCCCACCAAGGCGACGAUGUCUAGGGGAUCUGAGAGGAUGACCCCCCACACUGGUACUGAGACACGGACCAGACUCCUACGGGAGGCAGCAGUAAGGAAUAUUGGUCAAUGGGCGCAAGCCUGAACCAGCCAUGCCGCGUGCAGGAAGACGGCCCUACGGGUUGUAAACUGCUUUUGUACCGGAAUAAACCUUGAUACGUGUAUCGAGCUGAAUGUACGGUAAGAAUAAGGAUCGGCUAACUCCGUGCCAGCAGCCGCGGUAAUACGGAGGAUCCAAGCGUUAUCCGGAUUUAUUGGGUUUAAAGGGUGCGUAGGUGGCCUAUUAAGUCAGGGGUUCAAGACGGUAGCUCAACUAUCGCAGUGCCUUUGAUACUGAUGGGCUUGAAUACAGUUGAAGUGGGCGGAAUGUGACAAGUAGCGGUGAAAUGCAUANAUAUGUCACAGAACACCGAUUGCGAAGGG
Molecule: ribosomal RNA, 717 nt
Filed under: uncultured bacterium
Lineage: Bacteria
Description: bacterial SSU rRNA
Rfam family: Bacterial small subunit ribosomal RNA
Source: RNAcentral